This 597-nucleotide ribosomal RNA is filed under the name uncultured archaeon. Its description in RNAcentral is "bacterial SSU rRNA". It matches the Rfam family "Archaeal small subunit ribosomal RNA", at positions 5 to 609 of the family's 1478-position model. The record is from RNAcentral.
AGGUUGAUCCUGCCGGACCUGACUGCUAUCUGAUUGGUACUAAGCCAUGCGAGUCGUUGUACAAUACAAGGCGGACUGCUCAGUAACACGUAGUUAACUUAACCUAUGGAUGGGAAUAACCUCCGGAAACUGAGAAUAAUACCCAAUAGACCACAGUGCCUGGAAUGGCCUGUGGUUGAAAUGAUUUAUCGCCGUAGGAUAGGACUGCGGCCUAUCAGCUUGUUGGUGAGGUAAUGGCCCACCAAGGCUAUAACAGGUACGGGCUCUGAGAGGAGGGGCCCGGAGAUGGGUACUGAGACACGGACCCAGGCCCUAUGGGGCGCAGCAGGCGAGAAACCUUUGCAAUGUGCGAAAGCACGACAAGGUUAAUCCGAGUGUCUCCUGCUAAAGGAGUCUUUUGUCAGUUGUAGAAUCACUGGUGAAUAAGGGGUGGGCAAGUUCUGGUGUCAGCCGCCGCGGUAAAACCAGCACCUCGAGUGGUCAGGAGGUUUAUUGGGCCUAAAGCAUCCGUAGCCGGUUGCAUAAGUUUUCGGUUAAAUCUAUGCGCUUAACGUAUAGGCCGCCGAAAAUACUGUGCAGCUAGGGAGUGGGAGAGGU